AACGAACGCUGGCGGCGUGGAUAAGACAUGCAAGUCGGACGCUUGAUUUUGUAGCAAUAUGAGGAUACGGGAGUGGCGAAAGGGUGCGUAACACGUGGGUAAUUUGUCUGAGAGUUCAGGAUAAUUCGCUGAAAGGCGGAGUAAUACUGGAUGUGGAUAUUGGCUGGGAACAGCUGAUAUCUAAAGCCGGGGACCGCAAGGCCUGGUGCUCUUAGGUAAGCCCGCGACCUAUCAGCUAGUUGGUGAGGUAAGAGCUCACCAAGGCGGAGACGGGUAGCUGGUCUGAGAGGACGACCAGCCACACUGGAACUGAGACACGGUCCAGACACCUACGGGUGGCAGCAGUCGAGAAUUUUUCUCAAUGGGGGAAACCCUGAAGGAGCGACGCCGCGUGGGGGAUGAAAGGGCUUCGGCUCGUAAACCCCUGUCAUUUGUGAGCAAGUGUUAUUGUUUAAGAGAUGAUGACAUUGAUAGUAGCAAAAGAGGAAGGGACGGCUAACUCUGUGCCAGCCGCCGC
RNAcentral lists this ribosomal RNA (517 nucleotides) under uncultured bacterium. RNAcentral's name for it is "bacterial SSU rRNA". It matches the Rfam family "Bacterial small subunit ribosomal RNA", at positions 29 to 518 of the family's 1533-position model. The record is from RNAcentral.